RNAcentral lists this ribosomal RNA (473 nucleotides) under uncultured organism. RNAcentral's name for it is "partial 16S ribosomal RNA". It matches the Rfam family "Bacterial small subunit ribosomal RNA", at positions 335 to 799 of the family's 1533-position model. The record is from RNAcentral.
ACUCCUACGGGAGGCAGCAGUGGGGAAUUUUGGACAAUGGGCGAAAGCCUGAUCCAGCAAUGCCGCGUGUGUGAAGAAGGCCUUCGGGUUGUAAAGCACUUUUGUCCGGAAAGAAAUCCUUGGCUCUAAUACAGUCGGGGGAUGACGGUACCGGAAGAAUAAGCACCGGCUAACUACGUGCCAGCAGCCGCGGUAAUACGUAGGGUGCGAGCGUUAAUCGGAAUUACUGGGCGUAAAGCGUGCGCAGGCGGUUUGCUAAGACCGAUGUGAAAUCCCCGGGCUCAACCUGGGAACUGCAUUGGUGACUGGCAGGCUAGAGUAUGGCAGAGGGGGGUAGAAUUCCACGUGUAGCAGUGAAAUGCGUAGAGAUGUGGAGGAAUACCGAUGGCGAAGGCAGCCCCCUGGGCCAAUACUGACGCUCAUGCACGAAAGCGUGGGGAGCAAACAGGAUUAGAAACCCUUGUAGUCCCAUG